GUAGCACUUCCAAAGUACUUAGAAGAGCCUUAAAGCAUAAUAUCAAACAUGGUAAAAAUGUUGUUUCUGUGCAGUUUUUUAUAUAUAGUCUGAGCAACCCCCCUUUUGGAAUAAUUGGCCUACUCUUGCAGGGAGAGGCUUUACCUGUAGACCUGCUGUGGCUAGAAAAUUGUUAAUUUGAACUUUCAAAUGGCUUCAGCAUAUGUUCCUGCAGUCUGCUGCAUGAGUGCUCUCCUCCUAUCCAGAAAGGACGGGCUUGGCAAGCAGAUCAAGAUGGUUCUCAGAGUGAAUCUUGAUGGGUAUUGAUAAGGAUGUUGAUCACUCAUUGUGGCGUUACCUUCCCAUUGGGAAAUGAGAAGUGACCAUGUAAAAGAAACAAAUCUGGGAGUUUGGUUCCGAACACUUUCAGGAAACACUUACUGAUCUUUUGCUAUCAUCUGACAGCAUUAAGGAAGAAUAUGGGCCAUGUUGUCUUCCCUAUCUGUGUCAUACUCCUGUAAAUAUAAUUGAGGAUAAUGUGGAAUUGUUUGUUUAGAUUGCCCUACUAAACAUGUUGAAACAAUGAAGUCUGUCACAAUGCAGGAUGUUGAUACAAUUCGAGUGUUGUAACUACAAAAAGAUGAGAGAAACCAUGUAUUUGUAUCAUGAGCAAUUGCCUAAGAUUACACUGUGGCUUGUGAAACUUAUAAAUUACUGAAGUUACCUCUAACUCCUAUUAGAACCACACACACACAAAAAAAAAAAGGAAGGAAAAAAGCAACAGACUAUUGCCUGCACUUUCUGUAUUUGG
Molecule: long non-coding RNA, 790 nt
Filed under: Anas platyrhynchos platyrhynchos (common mallard)
Lineage: Eukaryota; Metazoa; Chordata; Aves; Anseriformes; Anatidae
Description: lncRNA (ENSAPLG00000028717.1)
Source: RNAcentral